CACGAGUAAAGCACUUUUAUUCUCAACCACAAAGAUGUGGAACAUCAUUCCCCAUUUCACAAAGGGAAAUGGAGAUCUGCUGACACUCAUGAAAUCUGUGGAUUAGCAGGAUCCAUGUGAGGCCUCUCCUCCUAGCUGAGCAACCUAACCACUGGAUCAUUCCUUCUGCCUGGUCUGCCUUGGCUACAGAAUAGCACAGACAAGAGUGUACAGAAGAGAGACAGUUCAGAAAGUCUAAAUUUAAGGAGUUUUUCCUGGUAAUACACUGAUGAACUAGUAACUUGGAUGACAUUGCCAAUAGUUUGCACAUCACAGUGUUUAUAUCCAAAGAACAAUAACCUAAACUAUGGCUCCUGUAGCUUGAGGGUUUUUACAAAGCUCCUCUGAAGCCAAAAUUUAGAGAUCUUCACUUUUUCUUCUUUUUGCCAAGCAAAGGUUUCAAAACUAUGUUGUUAAAGACAUCAAAAGAAGGAAUACAACUAACAUUGUUAAACUUCAACAUUUAAAAUUGCCAUUCUUGUUGAAAUCAGAACACCUUCUGAAAUGUAAUGACCACUAAAGGAUCAAGGGACACUGCAGAAAGCAUUAACAAAGGUGAUUUCCAUCAUCAUUCCACUAACAUCAUCCCUAGUGACACAGCUUUCCAGGAUGCUGAAAUACAUUCUUCUUCCAAAGAUUAAAUGGGAUAGAAUUUUACUUUGACCCAUGAGCCAUAUUAACUGAAGAUGAGACACUUUACACUUCACAUACAUACUGUAGUGGAGGUUAUAGAGCUUCUUUUCUUCAAUAACUGCCAUGCAUUACUGUCACAGUAUUUUCUAGAGUUGAAGAGCAGUACACAGGUUUAUGGAUAAUCCAUGUCAUGAUACUUAUACCAGUACAUGUUCCGUCAUGUAUAUUUUGGACAUAGAAACCUUUUGUAAAGAUUAGUAAUUGUUUAAAUUUUUCUAACAGAUGUCAUACAGGAAGUGUGGGAAGUUUUAUAAUGUAUAAUAAUUCACUUUGGGAGUAAC
Molecule: long non-coding RNA, 1013 nt
Filed under: Strigops habroptila (Kakapo)
Lineage: Eukaryota; Metazoa; Chordata; Aves; Psittaciformes; Psittacidae
Description: lncRNA (ENSSHBG00005007022.1)
Source: RNAcentral